RNAcentral lists this ribosomal RNA (2905 nucleotides) under Escherichia coli. RNAcentral's name for it is "23S ribosomal RNA". It matches the Rfam family "Bacterial large subunit ribosomal RNA". The record is from RNAcentral. Lineage: Bacteria; Pseudomonadati; Pseudomonadota; Gammaproteobacteria; Enterobacterales; Enterobacteriaceae.
GGUUAAGCGACUAAGCGUACACGGUGGAUGCCCUGGCAGUCAGAGGCGAUGAAGGACGUGCUAAUCUGCGAUAAGCGUCGGUGAGGUGAUAUGAACCGUUAUAACCGGCGAUUUCCGAAUGGGGAAACCCAGUGUGUUUCGACACACUAUCAUUAACUGAAUCCAUAGGUUAAUGAGGCGAACCGGGGGAACUGAAACAUCUAAGUACCCCGAGGAAAAGAAAUCAACCGAGAUUCCCCCAGUAGCGGCGAGCGAACGGGGAGGAGCCCAGAGCCUGAAUCAGUGUGUGUGUUAGUGGAAGCGUCUGGAAAGGCGCGCGAUACAGGGUGACAGCCCCGUACACAAAAAUGCACAUAUUGUGAGCUCGAUGAGUAGGGCGGGACACGUGGUAUCCUGUCUGAAUAUGGGGGGACCAUCCUCCAAGGCUAAAUACUCCUGACUGACCGAUAGUGAACCAGUACCGUGAGGGAAAGGCGAAAAGAACCCCGGCGAGGGGAGUGAAAAAGAACCUGAAACCGUGUACGUACAAGCAGUGGGAGCCUCUUAAUGGGGUGACUGCGUACCUUUUGUAUAAUGGGUCAGCGACUUAUAUUCUGUAGCAAGGUUAACCGAAUAGGGGAGCCGAAGGGAAACCGAGUCUUAACUGGGCGUUAAGUUGCAGGGUAUAGACCCGAAACCCGGUGAUCUAGCCAUGGGCAGGUUGAAGGUUGGGUAACACUAACUGGAGGACCGAACCGACUAAUGUUGAAAAAUUAGCGGAUGACUUGUGGCUGGGGGUGAAAGGCCAAUCAAACCGGGAGAUAGCUGGUUCUCCCCGAAAGCUAUUUAGGUAGCGCCUCGUGAAUUCAUCUCCGGGGGUAGAGCACUGUUUCGGCAAGGGGGUCAUCCCGACUUACCAACCCGAUGCAAACUGCGAAUACCGGAGAAUGUUAUCACGGGAGACACACGGCGGGUGCUAACGUCCGUCGUGAAGAGGGAAACAACCCAGACCGCCAGCUAAGGUCCCAAAGUCAUGGUUAAGUGGGAAACGAUGUGGGAAGGCCCAGACAGCCAGGAUGUUGGCUUAGAAGCAGCCAUCAUUUAAAGAAAGCGUAAUAGCUCACUGGUCGAGUCGGCCUGCGCGGAAGAUGUAACGGGGCUAAACCAUGCACCGAAGCUGCGGCAGCGACGCUUAUGCGUUGUUGGGUAGGGGAGCGUUCUGUAAGCCUGUGAAGGUGUGCUGUGAGGCAUGCUGGAGGUAUCAGAAGUGCGAAUGCUGACAUAAGUAACGAUAAAGCGGGUGAAAAGCCCGCUCGCCGGAAGACCAAGGGUUCCUGUCCAACGUUAAUCGGGGCAGGGUGAGUCGACCCCUAAGGCGAGGCCGAAAGGCGUAGUCGAUGGGAAACAGGUUAAUAUUCCUGUACUUGGUGUUACUGCGAAGGGGGGACGGAGAAGGCUAUGUUGGCCGGGCGACGGUUGUCCCGGUUUAAGCGUGUAGGCUGGUUUUCCAGGCAAAUCCGGAAAACCAAGGCUGAGGCGUGAUGACGAGGCACUACGGUGCUGAAGCAACAAAUGCCCUGCUUCCAGGAAAAGCCUCUAAGCAUCAGGUAACAUCAAAUCGUACCCCAAACCGACACAGGUGGUCAGGUAGAGAAUACCAAGGCGCUUGAGAGAACUCGGGUGAAGGAACUAGGCAAAAUGGUGCCGUAACUUCGGGAGAAGGCACGCUGAUAUGUAGGUGAAGCGACUUGCUCGUGGAGCUGAAAUCAGUCGAAGAUACCAGCUGGCUGCAACUGUUUAUUAAAAACACAGCACUGUGCAAACACGAAAGUGGACGUAUACGGUGUGACGCCUGCCCGGUGCCGGAAGGUUAAUUGAUGGGGUUAGCGGUAACGCGAAGCUCUUGAUCGAAGCCCCGGUAAACGGCGGCCGUAACUAUAACGGUCCUAAGGUAGCGAAAUUCCUUGUCGGGUAAGUUCCGACCUGCACGAAUGGCGUAAUGAUGGCCAGGCUGUCUCCACCCGAGACUCAGUGAAAUUGAACUCGCUGUGAAGAUGCAGUGUACCCGCGGCAAGACGGAAAGACCCCGUGAACCUUUACUAUAGCUUGACACUGAACAUUGAGCCUUGAUGUGUAGGAUAGGUGGGAGGCUUUGAAGUGUGGACGCCAGUCUGCAUGGAGCCGACCUUGAAAUACCACCCUUUAAUGUUUGAUGUUCUAACGUUGGCCCGUAAUCCGGGUUGCGGACAGUGUCUGGUGGGUAGUUUGACUGGGGCGGUCUCCUCCUAAAGAGUAACGGAGGAGCACGAAGGUUGGCUAAUCCUGGUCGGACAUCAGGAGGUUAGUGCAAUGGCAUAAGCCAGCUUGACUGCGAGCGUGACGGCGCGAGCAGGUGCGAAAGCAGGUCAUAGUGAUCCGGUGGUUCUGAAUGGAAGGGCCAUCGCUCAACGGAUAAAAGGUACUCCGGGGAUAACAGGCUGAUACCGCCCAAGAGUUCAUAUCGACGGCGGUGUUUGGCACCUCGAUGUCGGCUCAUCACAUCCUGGGGCUGAAGUAGGUCCCAAGGGUAUGGCUGUUCGCCAUUUAAAGUGGUACGCGAGCUGGGUUUAGAACGUCGUGAGACAGUUCGGUCCCUAUCUGCCGUGGGCGCUGGAGAACUGAGGGGGGCUGCUCCUAGUACGAGAGGACCGGAGUGGACGCAUCACUGGUGUUCGGGUUGUCAUGCCAAUGGCACUGCCCGGUAGCUAAAUGCGGAAGAGAUAAGUGCUGAAAGCAUCUAAGCACGAAACUUGCCCCGAGAUGAGUUCUCCCUGAGACUUAGAGUCUCCUGAAGGAACGUUGAAGACGACGACGUUGAUAGGCCGGGUGUGUAAGCGCAGCGAUGCGUUGAGCUAACCGGUACUAAUGAACCGUGAGGCUUAACCUU